GAGGCCUACCAUGGUGGUAACGGGUAACGGGGUGUUAGGGCACGACACCGGAGAGGGANNNNNAGAAACGGCUACCACAUCCAAGGAUGGCAGCAGGCGCGCAAAUUACCCAAUCCCGACACGGGGAGGUAGUGACAAUAAAUAACAAUACGGGGUUCUUUCGGAUCUCGUAAUUGGAAUGAGUACAAUUUAAAUCUCUUAACGAGGAACAAUUGGAGGGCAAGUCUGGUGCCAGCAGCCGCGGUAAUUCCAGCUCCAAUAGCGUAUAUUAAAGUUGUUGCAGUUAAAAAGCUCGUAGUUGAAUUUCGGGGUUAGUAGGUUGGUCAUGCCUCUGGUAUGUACUGGUCUCACUGAUUCCUCCUUCCUUAUGAACCGUAAUGCCAUUAAUUUGGUGUUGCGGGGAAUUUGGACUGUUACUUUGAAAAAAUUAGAGUGUUUAAAGCAAGCUAACGCUUGAAUACAUUAGUAUGGAAUAAUGAAAUAGGACGUUCGAUCUUAUUUUGUUGGUUUCUAGGAUUGACGUAAUGAUUAAUAGGGAUAGUUGGGGGCAUUAGUAUUCAAUUGUCAGAGGUGAAAUUCUUGGAUUUAUUGAAGACUAACUACUGCGAAAGCAUUUGCCAAGGAUGUUUUCAUUAAUCAAGAACGAAAGUUAGGGGAUCGAAGACGAUCAGAUACCGUCGUAGUCUUAACCAUAAACUAUGCCGACUAGGGAUCGGAUGAUG
RNAcentral lists this ribosomal RNA (722 nucleotides) under uncultured fungus. RNAcentral's name for it is "SSU rRNA". It matches the Rfam family "Eukaryotic small subunit ribosomal RNA", at positions 336 to 1062 of the family's 1831-position model. Lineage: Eukaryota; Fungi. The record is from RNAcentral.